GUGAGGAAUAUUGCGCAAUGGAGGCAACUCUGACGCAGCCAUGCCGCGUGCAGGAAGAAGGCGCUACGCGUUGUAAACUGCUUUUAACCGGGAAGAAACCCCAGGACGUGUCCUGGGUUGACGGUACUGGAGGAAUAAGCACCGGCUAACUUCGUGCCAGCAGCCGCGGUAAUACGAAGGGUGCAAGCGUUAUCCGGAUUCAUUGGGUUUAAAGGGUGCGUAGGCGGAGCGUUAAGUCAGUGGUGAAAUCCUGCAGCUUAACUGUAGACUUGCCAUUGAUACUGGCGCUCUUGAGUGCGCUUGAAGUGGGCGGAAUGUGCCGUGUAGCGGUGAAAUGCUUAGAUAUGGCACAGAACACCAAUUGCGAAGGCAGCUCACUAAGGCGAUACUGACGCUGAGGCACGAAAGCGUGGGGAUCGAACAGGAUUAGAAACCCGGGUAGUCC
Molecule: ribosomal RNA, 445 nt
Filed under: uncultured bacterium
Lineage: Bacteria
Description: partial 16S ribosomal RNA
Rfam family: Bacterial small subunit ribosomal RNA
Source: RNAcentral